RNAcentral lists this unclassified non-coding RNA (334 nucleotides) under fungal sp. Its description in RNAcentral is "partial internal transcribed spacer region". The stretch from base 1 to 46 matches the Rfam family "Eukaryotic small subunit ribosomal RNA", at positions 1786 to 1831 of the family's 1831-position model. The record is from RNAcentral. Lineage: Eukaryota; Fungi.
AAGUCGUAACAAGGUUUCCGUGGGUGAACCUGCGGAAGGAUCAUUACAAAGUCGUCUUCUUGAUAUCGCUCGAAAGAGCUGAUUUUCUCGAGGCAACAACAUCCUUUUUUUCCCUUCUGUCUUUCUUCAUGUACCCCACGAGGCAACUCUGGGGGGAAACGAAGUUGGCAAAGGGAAAAAAAUACAUCUCUUGUGCACCGUAAAAAACUAUUCGCGUUUAAUGCUUCUAUGCCUUAUGUAAAAAAAUUUAUUCUGUCCGCAAGUCGUGCAAACGGCCCAAAGAAAGAAGAAAAAAAAUAAAAAACAACUUUUAACAAUGGAUCUCUUGGCUCUC